Molecule: ribosomal RNA, 450 nt
Filed under: uncultured bacterium
Lineage: Bacteria
Description: partial 16S ribosomal RNA
Rfam family: Bacterial small subunit ribosomal RNA
Source: RNAcentral
GUGGGGAAUUUUGGACAAUGGGGGCAACCCUGAUCCAGCCAUGCCGCGUGCGGGAAGAAGGCCUUCGGGUUGUAAACCGCUUUUGUCAGGGAAGAAAUCCUUUGGGUUAAUACCUCGGAGGGAUGACGGUACCUGAAGAAUAAGCACCGGCUAACUACGUGCCAGCAGCCGCGGUAAUACGUAGGGUGCGAGCGUUAAUCGGAAUUACUGGGCGUAAAGCGUGCGCAGGCGGUUUUGUAAGAUCGAUGUGAAAUCCCCGGGCUCAACCUGGGAACUGCAUUGGUGACUGCAAGGCUGGAGUGCGGCAGAGGGGGAUGGAAGUCCGCGUGUAGCAGUGAAAUGCGUAGAUAUGCGGAGGAACACCGAUGGCGAAGGCAAUCCCCUGGGCCUGCACUGACGCUCAUGCACGAAAGCGUGGGGAGCAAACAGGAUUAGAUACCCGAGUAGUCC